CAGUCGCCGCGGUAAUACGGAGGGUGCAAGCGUUAAUCGGAAUUACUGGGCGUAAAGCGCACGCAGGCGGUCUGACAAGUCAGAUGUGAAAUCCCCGGGCUUAACCUGGGAACUGCAUUUGAAACUGUCAGGCUGGAGUCUUGUAGAGGGGGGUAGAAUUCCAGGUGUAGCGGUGAAAUGCGUAGAGAUCUGGAGGAAUACCGGUGGCGAAGGCGGCCCCCUGGACAAAGACUGACGCUCAGGUGCGAAAGCGUGGGGAGCAAACAGGAUUAGAUACACCUGUAGUCCCUGUCUCUUAUAC
RNAcentral lists this ribosomal RNA (301 nucleotides) under uncultured bacterium. Its description in RNAcentral is "partial 16S ribosomal RNA". It matches the Rfam family "Bacterial small subunit ribosomal RNA", at positions 509 to 807 of the family's 1533-position model. The record is from RNAcentral.